This 827-nucleotide ribosomal RNA is filed under the name delta proteobacterium FM1B-C11. RNAcentral describes it as "bacterial SSU rRNA". It matches the Rfam family "Bacterial small subunit ribosomal RNA", at positions 86 to 902 of the family's 1533-position model. Lineage: Bacteria; Deltaproteobacteria. The record is from RNAcentral.
ACGAGUAGAGUGGCGCACGGGUGAGUAACGCGUAAGUAAUCUACCCUGGUGUCUGGGAUAACAAUUCGAAAGGAGUGCUAAUACCGGAUACGCUGAUUUAUCAGGAAAGGUGGCCUCUUCAUGAAAGCUACUGCAUUAGGAGGAGCUUGCGUACCAUUAGCUAGUUGGUAGGGUAAUGGCCUACCAAGGCAACGAUGGUUAGCGGGUCUGAGAGGAUGAUCCGCCACACUGGAACUGGAACACGGACCAGACUCCUACGGGAGGCAGCAGUGAGGAAUAUUGCGCAAUGGGGGAAACCCUGACGCAGCGACGCCGCGUGAAUGAUGAAGGCCUUCGGGUCGUAAAAUUCUGUCAGAUGGGAAGAAGUGUUACAUGUUUAAUAUACAUGUAAUUUGACGGUACCAUCAAAGGAAGCACCGGCUAACUCCGUGCCAGCAGCCGCGGUAAUACGGAGGGUGCAAGCGUUGUUCGGAAUUACUGGGCGUAAAGCGCGCGUAGGCGGUUUUAUAAGUCAGAUGUGAAAGUCCAUGGCUCAACCAUGGAAGUGCAUUUGAAACUGUGGAACUUGAGUAUUGGAGGGGGUAGUGGAAUUCCCGGUGUAGAGGUGAAAUUCGUAGAUAUCGGGAGGAAUACCGGUGGCGAAGGCGACUACCUGGCCAAAUACUGACGCUGAGGUGCGAAAGCGUGGGGAGCAAACAGGAUUAGAUACCCUGGUAGUCCACGCCGUAAACGAUGUGAACUAGGUGUUGGGAUGGUUAAUCGUCUCAUUGCCGCAGCUAACGCAUUAAGUUCACCGCCUGGGGAGUACGGUCGCAAGAUUAAAACUC